UACGGAGGAGGCAAGCGUUAUCCGGAAUUAUUGGGCGUAAAGCGUCCGUAGGUGGUUAAUCAAGUCUGCUGUCAAAGCGUGCAGCUUAACUGCAUACCGGCAGUGGAAACUGAUUGACUAGAGUGCGGUAGGGGUAGAGGGAAUUCCCAGUGUAGCGGUGAAAUGCGUAGAUAUUGGGAAGAACACCGGUGGCGAAAGCGCUCUACUGGGCCGCAACUGACACUGAUGGACGAAAGCUAGGGGAGCGAAA
RNAcentral lists this ribosomal RNA (250 nucleotides) under uncultured bacterium. RNAcentral describes it as "partial 16S ribosomal RNA". It matches the Rfam family "Bacterial small subunit ribosomal RNA", at positions 524 to 773 of the family's 1533-position model. The record is from RNAcentral.